This 174-nucleotide ribosomal RNA is filed under the name uncultured bacterium. RNAcentral describes it as "partial 16S ribosomal RNA". It matches the Rfam family "Bacterial small subunit ribosomal RNA", at positions 1327 to 1500 of the family's 1533-position model. The record is from RNAcentral.
UGGAAUUGCUAGUAAUCGCAGAUCAGAAUGCUGCGGUGAAUACGUUCCCGGGCCUUGUACACACCGCCCGUCACACCAUGGGAGCCGGUAAUACCCGAAGUCAGUAGUCUAACCGCAAGGGGGACGCUGCCGAAGGUAGGAUUGGCGACUGGGGUGAAGUCGUAACAAGGUACC